AUACAUGCAAGUAGAACGCUGAAGAGAGGAGCUUGCUCUUCUUGGAUGAGUUGCGAACGGGUGAGUAACGCGUAGGUAACCUGCCUGGUAGUGGGGGAUAACUAUUGGAAACGAUAGCUAAUACCGCAUAAUAGCAGUUAUUGCAUGAUAACUGUUUGAAAGGUGCAAAUGCAUCACUACCAGAUGGACCUGCGUUGUAUUAGCUAGUUGGUGGGGUAACGGCUCACCAAGGCGACGAUACAUAGCCGACCUGAGAGGGUGAUCGGCCACACUGGGACUGAGACACGGCCCAGACUCCUACGGGAGGCAGCAGUAGGGAAUCUUCGGCAAUGGACGGAAGUCUGACCGAGCAACGCCGCGUGAGUGAAGAAGGUUUUCGGAUCGUAAAGCUCUGUUGUAAGAGAAGAACGAGUGUGAGAGUGGAAAGUUCACACUGUGACGGUAUCUUACCAGAAAGGGACGGCUAACUACGUGCCAGCAGCCGCGGU
RNAcentral lists this ribosomal RNA (488 nucleotides) under Streptococcus sp. PSH1a. RNAcentral's name for it is "bacterial SSU rRNA". It matches the Rfam family "Bacterial small subunit ribosomal RNA", at positions 51 to 521 of the family's 1533-position model. The record is from RNAcentral. Lineage: Bacteria; Bacillati; Bacillota; Bacilli; Lactobacillales; Streptococcaceae.